This 491-nucleotide long non-coding RNA is filed under the name Setaria viridis. RNAcentral describes it as "long non-coding RNA (SVIR_LNC000111)". The record is from RNAcentral. Lineage: Eukaryota; Viridiplantae; Streptophyta; Magnoliopsida; Poales; Poaceae.
GGGGGGUGGAGGAGUGGUCAGCUUCUGUAGCUUUUGUGAAAUAUGCAUAUGAAUUCCAUCAUACUUUUCAUGUGGUUUCGUCUUUUGAUUGGUAUGGACGUUUACGAAAUAAACUGAAACUCUAACACUGCGAAAGUUAAUUUCUCUGUAGUGCUCAAUUAUUGUGGUGAGGUGUGCAGUUUGCUUGUCCUGAAAUGAGCAGUGCCGUCUAAUCCAGUACUGUAAGAUUUUUGUAAACAAAUUUUUACGAUCAGCGGUCUCUUGAUUUUGUUACUAGAUUCGGUAUAUUUUGAUGUUCAAAACUUCAAAUUGAUGUUUAAUUUGGUCUAAACUUUUGGUUAUCCCACCACGAGAAAAAGAAAUAAAGUGAGAUACUUUCCUUUUAUUCUAGAUGAGGAUAUACACUAGCAUGUGAAGGAAUCAUUCAAAGAGAAGAACAACAUGGUAUAAUUACUCAGCGUUUUUGCUCAUACCAAUUGCAGGUGUUUGAG